GUGAGGAAUAUUGGUCAAUGGACGAGAGUCUGAACCAGCCAAGUCGCGUGAAGGAAGACGGUUCUAUGAAUUGUAAACUUCUUUUGUGCAGGAAUAAAGUGGGUUACGUGUAACCUUUUGUAUGUACUGUACGAAUAAGGAUCGGCUAACUCCGUGCCAGCAGCCGCGGUAAUACGGAGGAUCCGAGCGUUAUCCGGAUUUAUUGGGUUUAAAGGGUGCGUAGGGGGAUUGAUAAGUCAGCGGUGAAAGUUUGCAGCUUACCUGGAAAAUUGCCGUUGAAACUGUCGGUCUUGAGUGCAAAUGGGGUAGGCGGAAUGUGUUGUGUAGCGGUGAAAUGCUUAGAUAUAAAACAGAACUCCGAUUGCGAAGGCAGCUUACUGGGAUGCAACUGACACUGAUGCACGAAAGCGUGGGUAUCAAACAGGAUUAGAUACCCCAGUAGUCC
RNAcentral lists this ribosomal RNA (445 nucleotides) under uncultured bacterium. RNAcentral's name for it is "partial 16S ribosomal RNA". It matches the Rfam family "Bacterial small subunit ribosomal RNA", at positions 354 to 796 of the family's 1533-position model. The record is from RNAcentral.